UGUAGUGGGUAAGUGAGUGGAGUUUGAAGAAGGAAGAUCUGCGUCAACCCUGGCUCCCCUACAUGAGACACAGGUCCUAUGCAACCACUCCAAACCUUUAUUUUCUCAGCUAUAACAUGAACGAGACAAUAAUAACCACCUAGUAGGUUUGCUCUAAGGUUUAAGCGCUAAUCAACAAAGCAUCAUUGUGUGAAGAGCACUUAACACCAUUCCUCACAGCUAUUCAUUGUUUUCAGAUAGUUCAAGGAAUGCCCAACACAUGAAGGCAACUCACCUGCCUCCACUCUGAUCUAUUUGUGGUUUGUUACCUGCAAACUACCUGAGGAGGACCCUGGUCACAGCCAGCCAUAGCUGCGCUGCACCAGUACAGGCUCAAUGAGUACUCUGUCUCUUUUUAAGGAGUAGACAUUGUCUGUCAUCCACUUGGAGAGGAUAGGGUUCCUUCUCCACUGUGGCAGCAGAGGGGGAAAGAUCCUCUGACCCUGGGGGACUGACACCCACUAUUGAAGCUGAUCUUGCUCGGUCUCUCCUCUAUCAUCGUCAGAGCACUGCAGAGUGAGUUCUAUGGAAUACAGGAGUAAGGGAAUGACAAUAACUUGCUGUCCCAUAAUUUAAGACCCCCACUGUUACCAGCUGCUGCUGCUCCCUUUCUUACUAACAGGAAGGGAUUCCUACAUGUCCUUCAAAGUCAGCUCAAGUAUAAUUUCCUUUUGGAAGCAUUCUGCUAUCUUCAUGCCAGGAAGGAAGAAAACAAGAGAAGCAAAACCAUUGUAAGUGGGCUACUAUUAUUUCCCCCAAUUCUAUACAGUAACUCUAGUACCAGAUGUUAGAUGAGAAGGGUUAAUCCUCUAAGC
Molecule: long non-coding RNA, 854 nt
Organism: Panthera uncia (snow leopard)
Lineage: Eukaryota; Metazoa; Chordata; Mammalia; Carnivora; Felidae
Exons: 6
Source: RefSeq, a predicted model, not a curated record